GCGCAUGUGGCGUAAUUGGUAGCCGCGCCAGACUUAGGAUCUGGUGUCGAAAGACGUGGGGGUUCGAGUCCCUCCAUGCGCA
Molecule: transfer RNA, 82 nt
Filed under: Flavobacteriales bacterium
Lineage: Bacteria; Pseudomonadati; Bacteroidota; Flavobacteriia; Flavobacteriales
Description: tRNA-Leu
Rfam family: tRNA
About the family: Transfer RNA (tRNA) molecules are approximately 80 nucleotides in length.
Source: RNAcentral